AUACGUAGGGGACGAGCGUUGUCCGGAAUUACUGGGCGUAAAGGGCGCGCAGGCGGAUAUUUAAGUCAGCUGUAAAAGGCAUGAGCUCAACUCAUGUAUGCGGUUGAAACUGGGUAUCUAGAGUGCUGGAGAGGUAGGCGGAAUUCCCGGUGUAGCGGGGAAAUGCGUAGAUAUCGGGAAGAACACCAGUGGCGAAGGCGGCUUACUGGCCAGCAACUGACGCUGAGGCGCGAAAGCCAGGGGAGCGAACGGGAUUAGAUACCCCGGUAGUCCUGGCCGUAAACGAUGAAUGCUAGGUGUGGGUGUCGAGAGGCAUCCGUGCCGGAGUUAACGCGAUAAGCAUUCCGCCUGGGGAGUACGAUCGCAAGAUUGAAACUUAAAGGAAUUGACGG
RNAcentral lists this ribosomal RNA (392 nucleotides) under uncultured bacterium. RNAcentral describes it as "partial 16S ribosomal RNA". It matches the Rfam family "Bacterial small subunit ribosomal RNA", at positions 523 to 916 of the family's 1533-position model. The record is from RNAcentral.